RNAcentral lists this ribosomal RNA (500 nucleotides) under uncultured bacterium. RNAcentral describes it as "bacterial SSU rRNA". It matches the Rfam family "Bacterial small subunit ribosomal RNA", at positions 355 to 845 of the family's 1533-position model. The record is from RNAcentral.
UAGGGAAUAUUGCACAAUGGGGGAAACCCUGAUGCAGCAACGCCGCGUGAGUGAAGAAGGCCCUUGGGUUGUAAAGCUCUUUAGCGUGGGAAGAAGGUAGAUAUGGUGAAUAAUCAUGUUUGCUGACGGUACCACGAGAAUAAGCACCGGCUAAUUUCGUGCCAGCAGCCGCGGUAAUACGAAAGGUGCAAGCGUUACUCGGAAUCACUGGGCGUAAAGCGCACGUAGGCGGACUCGUAGGUCAAUUGUGAAAUACCUGGGCUCAACCCGGGAACUGCAGUUGAAACCGCUUGUCUUGAAUACCUGAGAGGGUGGGGGAAUACCUGGUGGAGAAGUGAAAUUCGUAGAGAUCAGGUGGAACACCGGAGGCGAAGGCGCCUGCCUGGCAGUGUAUUGACGCUGAGGUGCGAAAGUGCGGGGAGCAAACAGGAUUAGAUACCCUGGUAGUCCGCACCGUAAACGAUGGAUACUAGGCGUUCGGAGAGUUAACCCUCUGAGUG